This 426-nucleotide ribosomal RNA is filed under the name uncultured bacterium. RNAcentral's name for it is "bacterial SSU rRNA". It matches the Rfam family "Bacterial small subunit ribosomal RNA", at positions 354 to 796 of the family's 1533-position model. The record is from RNAcentral.
GUGAGGAAUAUUGGUCAAUGGGCGAAAGCCUGAACCAGCAACGCCGCGUGGAGGAUGACGGCCUUCGGGUUGUAAACUCCUUUUAGGGGGGACAAGUAAGGAUGGUACCCUCAGAAUAAGUCACGGCUAACUACGUGCCAGCAGCCGCGGUAAUACGUAGGUGACGAGCGUUAUCCGGAAUUAUUGGGCGUAAAGCGUACGCAAGCGGUUAAAUAAGUCUGACGUGAAAUCUCUUGGCUUAACUGAGAGCGGUCGUUGGAAACUGUUUGGCUUGAGGCGAUGAGAGGAGUGCGGAAUCCCGGGUGUAGUGGUGGAAUGCGUAGAUAUCCGGGGGAACAUCAGUGGCGAAAGCGGCACUCUGGCAUUUGCCUGACGCUCAUGUACGAAAGCGUGGGGAGCGAACGGGAUUAGAUACCCCAGUAGUCC